UCAAAUGAAUUCUUUUCUUUUCCCAGUGCAUGUAAGAGUUAUAUUAUGUCUAACAGAACCAUGUACACACCUUAGUUAAAAAAUACUUGAUUGCUAAAGAAUUCGAACCACCAUUGGAGCCUGUUGCAAAAAUGGUGCUGAGAGGUUUCCGCA
Long non-coding RNA from Phyllostomus discolor (pale spear-nosed bat), 153 nucleotides. RefSeq lists it as uncharacterized. The record is from RefSeq and is a predicted model, not a curated record. The transcript is spliced from 3 exons. NCBI's taxonomy places the organism in Eukaryota, Metazoa, Chordata, Mammalia, Chiroptera, Phyllostomidae.